RNAcentral lists this ribosomal RNA (460 nucleotides) under uncultured bacterium. RNAcentral describes it as "partial 16S ribosomal RNA". It matches the Rfam family "Bacterial small subunit ribosomal RNA", at positions 338 to 795 of the family's 1533-position model. The record is from RNAcentral.
CCUACGGGUGGCAGCAGUGAGGAAUAUUGGUCAAUGGGCGCGAGCCUGAACCAGCCAAGUAGCGUGAAGGAUGACUGCCCUACGGGUUGUAAACUUCUUUUAUAAAGGAAUAAAGUGAGGCACGUGUGCCUUUUUGUAUGUACUUUAUGAAUAAGGAUCGGCUAACUCCGUGCCAGCAGCCGCGGUAAUACGGAGGAUCCGAGCGUUAUCCGGACUGAUUGGGGUUAAAGGGAGCGUAGAUGGGUUGUUAAGUCAGUUGUGAAAGUUUGCGGCUCAACCGUAAAAUUGCAAUUGAUACUGGCAGUCUUGAGUACAGUUGAGGUAGGUGGAAGUCGAGGUGUAGUGGUGAAAUGCUUAGAUAUCACGAAGAACUCCGAUUGCGAAGGCAGCUUACUAAACUGCCACUGACAUUGAUGCUCGAAAGUGUGGGUAUCAAACAGGAUUAGAUACCCUUGUAGUC